This is a long non-coding RNA of Anguilla rostrata (American eel), 459 nucleotides long. RefSeq lists it as uncharacterized. NCBI's taxonomy places the organism in Eukaryota, Metazoa, Chordata, Actinopteri, Anguilliformes, Anguillidae. The transcript has 2 exons. The record is from RefSeq and is a predicted model, not a curated record.
ACAGGCCGGCGGCGAGCGGGACGCUACUUUCCUGUAUCUGUGAUUUGGCACUCGCCCUGCGUCGGCUCCGCUGUUACUUCUCUCGUCGUGUCUGAGGUGAAAUGUCGCAAGAACAUUCCAGCUGCGUGCCUACCUGCCUACACCUGGGGCCGAGGCCCACAGCACAGCGCCCCCGAUGGACAGAAGCAGCACUGCAACAGUUUGUAUACUUUGUCACCUGCGGUUUGAUCAUUCUUCUCUUUGGUGGAUACUGAAUGAACACCAUAUUAGUAUUAGAAUGAAGAACACCAUUAGUUACUGACAGAGGACAUUCAUAUAUUGCUGAAGUCACGACAGCAGCUAUUGCACGUAUAGGAUUCUACACUUGGACUGUGAUUGCUUGUACAAAUAAAAAUGCAUCUUUUAAAAUGGGGAAUACAUUAUAGAUUUUUGUAAAUGUAUUUUCCCUUAUUAAAAUAC